This 1372-nucleotide ribosomal RNA is filed under the name uncultured bacterium. Its description in RNAcentral is "bacterial SSU rRNA". It matches the Rfam family "Bacterial small subunit ribosomal RNA", at positions 28 to 1381 of the family's 1533-position model. The record is from RNAcentral.
GAUGAACGCUGGCGGCGUGCCUAAUACAUGCAAGUCGAGCGAACGGACGAGAAGCUUGCUUCUCUGAUGUUAGCGGCGGACGGGUGAGUAACACGUGGAUAACCUACCUAUAAGACUGGGAUAACUUCGGGAAACCGGAGCUAAUACCGGAUGAUAUUUUGAACCGCAUGGUUCAAAAGUGAAAGACGGUCUUGCUGUCACUCAUAGAUGGAUCCGCGCUGCAUUAGCUAGUUGGUAAGGUAACGGCUUACCAAGGCAACGAUGCAUAGCCGACCUGAGAGGGUGAUCGGCCACACUGGAGCUGAGACACGGUCCAGACUCCUACGGGAGGCAGCAGUAGGGAAUCUUCCGCAAUGGGCGAAAGCCUGACGGAGCAACGCCGCGUGAGUGAUGAAGGUCUUCGGAUCGUAAAACUCUGUUAUUAGGGAAGAACAUAUGUGUAAGUAACUGUGCACAUCUUGACGGUACCUAAUCAGAAAGCCACGGCUAACUACGUGCCAGCAGCCGCGGUAAUACGUAGGUGGCAAGCGUUAUCCGGAAUUAUUGGGCGUAAAGCGCGCGUAGGCGGUUUUUUAAGUCUGAUGUGAAAGCCCACGGCUCAACCGUGGAGGGUCAUUGGAAACUGGAAAACUUGAGUGCAGAAGAGGAAAGUGGAAUUCCAUGUGUAGCGGUGAAAUGCGCAGAGAUAUGGAGGAACACCAGUGGCGAAGGCGACUUUCUGGUCUGUAACUGACGCUGAUGUGCGAAAGCGUGGGGAUCAAACAGGAUUAGAUACCCUGGUAGUCCACGCCGUAAACGAUGAGUGCUAAGUGUUAGGGGGUUUCCGCCCCUUAGUGCUGCAGCUAACGCAUUAAGCACUCCGCCUGGGGAGUACGACCGCAAGGUUGAAACUCAAAGGAAUUGACGGGGACCCGCACAAGCGGUGGAGCAUGUGGUUUAAUUCGAAGCAACGCGAAGAACCUUACCAAAUCUUGACAUCCUUUGACAACUCUAGAGAUAGAGCCUUCCCCUUCGGGGGACAAAGUGACAGGUGGUGCAUGGUUGUCGUCAGCUCGUGUCGUGAGAUGUUGGGUUAAGUCCCGCAACGAGCGCAACCCUUAAGCUUAGUUGCCAUCAUUAAGUUGGGCACUCUAAGUUGACUGCCGGUGACAAACCGGAGGAAGGUGGGGAUGACGUCAAAUCAUCAUGCCCCUUAUGAUUUGGGCUACACACGUGCUACAAUGGACAAUACAAAGGGCAGCGAAACCGCGAGGUCAAGCAAAUCCCAUAAAGUUGUUCUCAGUUCGGAUUGUAGUCUGCAACUCGACUACAUGAAGCUGGAAUCGCUAGUAAUCGUAGAUCAGCAUGCUACGGUGAAUACGUUCCCGGGUCU